GAAAAUUUUGUGUAAGAAUGAGUGGGAUAAUUGGAAGUAGGGACAAUCGAUCGUUAAUAUAAUUAAUGAACUCAAUGAGUGGGGAGCAUUUUCUCUUGUAAGGGCGUACUGGGUGUACGUUCUGUGUGUGACGAAAAAUCCUCGACCUGCGUAAUAGCGGGUCGUUAAAACUAUCAUCAAAUUAUUGCGAUUUGAAUGGCGAAGUUCGAUGUACUCCGACGAAUUUUUGGAAAUUGAUUUGUAAUCUUGGAAGAAUAAACGGACUCAUCCUAGGGAUCAUCAUGCGUGUCCCAUGAAUUUUGAGCGUCAUCACCUUCUGAUAUACUCAACAUUCAUUGAAUCCCCCCACGGAAUGAUGUAUGCGCUAGGUAUCAGUCGUCAAACUAUUUUUUACUGUCGCCAAAGAGUGAGUACACCAUUUUAACGCAUUACUGAUAAUUUCGAAAGAAAAACGAUUUUAUUUGAUAUCUCACACAGUGAGUAUUAUUUUGUAAAAAUGAGAUAAAAUAUCGUCACACGAAAAAUUCAAUUUUAUCAAAGAUAUUUAUAUUUUUGUUUUAUGGAGAAAAUGCUCUAAAAAUUGUUGUCCUUGUUUUUUUUUUUGUAUAAUGUAUAUUGAGAAAAUAGUUUAAAUUUUUAUGUCUCUUUUAUUUAAUCACGUAUUUUUUAUAUUAUAUUGAUGAUAUUUAAUAAUUUGCAAAUUCUGUUAUCGUACGAUUUCUAAAUAUAAAAGUGUGUAUUGCGUAUGUAUGUGAUGAGCUCAUCCUGGAUAUUUCUAUAAAUUUGUUUUUGAACGCGAUAAUUGCCAGACAAAAAUCUAAACACAUAUGAAUGCUGAUUUAUUAUAUUCUUGUAAAUGAUUUUGAGUGUAUUAAAUUCUAAAAUUAUUUUUAUAUCAA
Molecule: long non-coding RNA, 899 nt
Organism: Leptopilina heterotoma
Lineage: Eukaryota; Metazoa; Arthropoda; Insecta; Hymenoptera; Figitidae
Exons: 2
Source: RefSeq, a predicted model, not a curated record